CGAACGGGUGAGUAAUGCGUGACCAACCUGCCCCAUGCUCCAGAAUAGCUCUUGGAAACGGGUGGUAAUGCUGGAUGCUCAACUUGACGCAUGUCUUGUUGGGAAAGUGUUUAGUGGCAUGGGAUGGGGUCGCGUCCUAUCAGCUUGUAGGCGGGGUAAUGGCCCACCUAGGCUUCGACGGGUAGCCGGCCUGAGAGGGCGGACGGCCACAUUGGGACUGAGAUACGGCCCAGACUCCUACGGGAGGCAGCAGUC
Molecule: ribosomal RNA, 255 nt
Filed under: uncultured Gardnerella sp.
Lineage: Bacteria; Bacillati; Actinomycetota; Actinomycetes; Bifidobacteriales; Bifidobacteriaceae
Description: partial 16S ribosomal RNA
Rfam family: Bacterial small subunit ribosomal RNA
Source: RNAcentral